This 289-nucleotide ribosomal RNA is filed under the name uncultured Pseudomonadota bacterium. RNAcentral's name for it is "uncultured proteobacterium partial 16S ribosomal RNA". The record is from RNAcentral. Lineage: Bacteria; Pseudomonadati; Pseudomonadota.
CUACCGGGGUAUCUAAUCCUGUUUGCUCCCCAUGCUUUCGUACCUGAACGUCGGUGCUGGACCAGGAAGCCGCUUUCGCCACUGGUGUUCUUUCCGAUAUCUACGCAUUUCACCGCUACACCGGAAGUUCCGCUUCCCUCUUCCGCACCCUAGCUGAACAGUCUCGAAUGCCAUUCCCAGGUUGAGCCCGGGGCUUUCACAUCCGACUUAUCCAACCGUCUACGUACGCUUUACGCCCAGUAAUUCCGAUUAACGCUCGCACCCUCUGUAUUACCGCGGCUGCUGGCAC